CCAUCCAUCUCCCUCCCACAGUCACCCUCUAUAAUUACGGUGGGCCUGCCUUCCCUCCAUGCCAUAUUCUCCUCAUUACUUUGCACAUUACAAUGUGUGUGUAGUGUGUUUGUGUGUGUGUGUGGUGUGUUUGUGUGUGUGUGUAUGUGUGUGUGUGUGUGUGUAUGUGUGAGAGAGAGAGAGUGUGUGUGUGCUUAUCGAAUACCCAGACAACACCAGCCCCGCUCCUUGGUAAUCUCACUCUACAUCAGCUGUCACCUUUUCUGAGCUGAAACAAAAGGCUCGGAGAACACACACACACACACACACACACACACACACACACACACACACACACACACACACACACACACACACAAUACACACAAUAAGGUGUCAGGGUGUCUGGCAUGACACUGAAGGUAUCUUUGUUGUGAUUGUGAUUAACAAGUUAACCUGCUACAUGAGGUAAAAAUGACAAACUUCUAUAUAUUUAUACACACACGGGGAUUCUUAUGCUCAGAAUAAGUUUGGUCUGUCAGAUUAACACAUGUGAACGAGGGACGUAGUGGAGAACAAAUCCACUAAAACUUCAUAUGAAAAGAUGCUAGUUGUAUAACUUUUUGACUCUGAAACCUAACUUCCCAUGAAUCUUGAUUAAGAGUCAGUGACAUCCCUGGAUAGCAGCAAUUAACUAACAUGAAGUUGAAAAGUGUUACAAAAGUGGGUCUGGAAUGAAUUUCAUUGUACAAUAAAACCUGAUUUCUGCCAUAAAAGCAAUUCCACAGCUAUCUCCUUCAAUAAUAUGCAAAGCAGCUGCUCUUGUGUGUGCUCCAAUAAUUUCUCUCUGCAGCAUGAGUACCUGCUACAGCACUGGGUGGUAAAAUCUGAACAUCUCAUUAACAUAAAACAAUUAUUAUUUUGAUAGCGUUCAACAACUACAGCUCCCAUGAGGCUUUCUGUUCAGAGUUUCUGUGAGUAAGACUCAUGGGGGAUGUUGCUGUUGACUAGGAUGAACCUUUGCCAUCAGCACAGAGCCUCACAGCAGCUUUAUGUGUUGAAUAGUAAUAAAAUAAUCAUUGCUCUAUAAUGAAACUUCACUACCCAGUAGACUUAGAUACUAAUUUAGAUUAGGAUAUGGACAGAGAACUAAGUGGUGGGUGAAAAAAAUCAAUCAAUUUUGUAAUAAUGUUGGUUAAUAAUGUUAUAAUGAAAUGGAAAAGGUGGACCAGUGCAACAGCUCCCAUAUGCUACAGUUAUCUUGUAGUUCAUUUUCAUUUUGGAUGCAAUAACUUAAUAAAAAUACCUUUGUAUAGCUCUCCAUUACCCAGAGACUAACGUUAGCAGUUGACUGACCAACUCCCACUGCAGCACUUUACAAAAUAAAACUCUGACUCGGUCCACGUUCUGUUUCAUGUCAAUAGUCCUGCGUUCAUACAGCAUUUUGGAUAACGUUGCUUUCACAGAACCAGCUGUGCAGCAGAGAAGCUGCUCUCUGCUGCUGGAGACAUGAAGAGAUGAAGGUCUGCUUUUUUUUUUAAAAAAAAAAGAAGAGCUGCAUACUCUCAAGUGACCUUGAUCGAGUUACGGUAUGUUUCAUAUUGCAUUUCAGUGGACUAAAGCCACAAGCGAAUGGUUUUCACACAGCGCGCUGGAGUGAGAGCCUUAAAAAAUCGUGCUCACCUUUCAAUUUAUUCUAUCGAGAAUCGGUUUUUGAAUCAAAUUUGUCACGGCUACAACCUUGUGUCUAGUUUCCUCUUGUUCGCCCUCCCCCUGUGCUCUUCCCCUGUUUGUCUCUCAGUGUACGUGUGUGUCUGUGUGGCGUGGGUGUGUGGCGCUCCUUCCCGGACUCUCCUGGCUCCCUGGCUACGUGCUGAUCGCACACACCUGUCUUCCAUCAUGCUCGUCAUCCUGCAGCAUAUGUACUUCACCCACUCAUCGCUGGGUCCUCGCUUCAGCUGCGUGCUCCUGGAUCACAACCCGUCUGCCUGCCUGUCUGCUUGCUCGCUCACUCACUCUCCAACCCAUUACCACCUGCCACCAUCUGAUAACCUUACACUAUUUCCCCCUCAUUCAUCAUCGUCCUCCAGUCCACUGCCCCUGCCAGCUUCUCCUCUGUUCCUUCCACCUCCAUCCCUCACAUACUGGCAAUAAAAGCUCUUAAUCAUCUCCA
This is a long non-coding RNA of Thunnus maccoyii (southern bluefin tuna), 2152 nucleotides long. RefSeq lists it as uncharacterized. The record is from RefSeq and is a predicted model, not a curated record. The transcript is spliced from 2 exons. NCBI's taxonomy places the organism in Eukaryota, Metazoa, Chordata, Actinopteri, Scombriformes, Scombridae.